UACCAGCACCCCGAGUGGUCGGGACGAUUAUUGGGCCUAAAGCAUCCGUAGCCGGUCCUGCAAGUCUUCCGUUAAAUCCAGCUGCUCAACAGAUGGGCUGCGGGGGAUACUACGGGGCUAGGAGGCGGGAGAGGCAAGCGGUACUUUAUGGGUAGGGGUAAAAUCCGUUGAUCCAUAGAAGACCACCAGUGGCGAAGGCGGCUUGCCAGAACGCGCUCGACGGUGAGGGAUGAAAGCUGGGGGAGCAAACCGG
This 253-nucleotide ribosomal RNA is filed under the name uncultured bacterium. Its description in RNAcentral is "partial 16S ribosomal RNA". It matches the Rfam family "Archaeal small subunit ribosomal RNA", at positions 474 to 727 of the family's 1478-position model. The record is from RNAcentral.